This is a long non-coding RNA of Lactuca sativa (garden lettuce), 788 nucleotides long. RefSeq lists it as uncharacterized. The record is from RefSeq and is a predicted model, not a curated record. NCBI's taxonomy places the organism in Eukaryota, Viridiplantae, Streptophyta, Magnoliopsida, Asterales, Asteraceae.
UAUGAGACUGGGGGAUUAUUUAUUUAUUUUUUUCUUUUUUGAGUGAAAACGAUGUUUCUUUUACAUUUUCUUUUCGUCUGGUUUUCUUCCACCGUUCAUGCUAUACAAGUGCUUUAUGUUUUUACUUUUCCUUUGUUGGAAAUGUGCAUCGUCAUCGGUUUGCUACAGUGACCGCCUUUCUCAGUUAAUCUGCUUCUUCGACGAUAGGAUAACAGGUUAGCUAUCGAAUUCUUGUGCAAAUCGUAGUUGAUUUAAGCAGAGAUGGUUGUAUUGAUGAAGAGGCUAAUUUAUGGUGAACAAACUUAAGCAACUUGUAGUUCUGAAGUACCUUCUGUACACUACGUGUUGUAUCCCAACACGCGGACUGCCCUCGUCUAAUUGCUAAUUUCAUCAAAGAUUCUUCAAGUCAUCUAUGCAAACCAGGUCGUUUCUUACAUGGUUUAUGAUUGCAGUAGAAUCUUGCUUUUCUUUCAUGAUCACACUUCAUUUGAAGGGUGGGAAAACACUAUUUGCAACAGGUUCUUACCAUGGAAAAUCCAAAAUAUGGAGUAAUGGUGGUAAAAUUAAGACUACCUCUUAGGUACUUUAUUGGUUUUAAAAAAAUUAUACAUUUCUAAUUUAUGGGUGAUGGUACAAGGACCAAAACCAUAGUAAGAUGAAAGUGUAGGGACAAUAUUUAGGUAAAAUGAAAUUGUACUAUUAGUUAUGAAAUUGUGACAAAAUUGUUAACUAAAAUCACACCUACUUUAUGCUAAUUAUUUAGCCUUAUGGAAGCUAUUUUUCUUUUC